Suncus etruscus (white-toothed pygmy shrew) is the source of this 110-nucleotide small nuclear RNA. The record is from RefSeq and is a predicted model, not a curated record. Lineage: Eukaryota; Metazoa; Chordata; Mammalia; Eulipotyphla; Soricidae.
UGUUCACUUCGGCAGCACAUAACUAAAAUUGGAACGAUACAGAGAAGAUUAGCAUGGCAAGGAUGCUGCGCAAGGAUGACACGCAAAUUUGUGAAGCGUUCCAUAUUAAA